UACAGAGGGUGCAAGCGUUAAUCGGAAUUACUGGGCGUAAAGCGCACGUAGGCGGUUUUUUAAGUCAGGUGUGAAAGCCCCGGGCUCAACCUGGGAAUUGCAUUUGAAACUGGGAAACUAGAGUGUGUGAGAGGGGGGUAGAAUUCCAAGUGUAGCGGUGAAAUGCGUAGAGAUUUGGAGGAAUACCAGUGGCGAAGGCGGCCCCCUGGCACAACACUGACGCUCAGGUGCGAAAGCGUGGGGAGCAAACAGG
This 253-nucleotide ribosomal RNA is filed under the name uncultured bacterium. Its description in RNAcentral is "partial 16S ribosomal RNA". It matches the Rfam family "Bacterial small subunit ribosomal RNA", at positions 524 to 776 of the family's 1533-position model. The record is from RNAcentral.